RNAcentral lists this long non-coding RNA (1069 nucleotides) under Homo sapiens (human). RNAcentral's name for it is "non-protein coding lnc-NBPF1-2:13". The record is from RNAcentral. Lineage: Eukaryota; Metazoa; Chordata; Mammalia; Primates; Hominidae.
AUGGUGGUAUCAGCCGGCCCUUUGUCCAGCGAGAAGGCAGAGAUGAACAUUCUAGAAAUCAACGAGAAAUUGCAUCCCCAGCUGGCAGAGAAGAAACAGCAGUUCAGAAACCUCAAAGAGAAAUGUUUUGUAACUCAACUGGCCUGCUUCCUGGCCAACCAGCAGAACAAAUACAAAAAUGAAGAGUGCAAAGACCUCAUAAAAUCUAUGCUGAGGAAUGAGCGACAGUUCAAGGAGGAGAAGCUUGCAGAGCAGCUCAAGCAAGCUGAGGAGCUCAGGCAAUAUAAAGUCCUGGUUCACUCUCAGGAACGAGAGCUGACCCAGUUAAGGGAGAAGUUACGGGAAGGGAGAGAUGCCUCCUGCUCAUUGAAUCAGCAUCUCCAGGCCCUCCUCACUCCGGAUGAGCCAGACAAGUCCCAGGGGCAGGACCUCCAAGAACAGCUGGCUGAGGGGUGUAGACUGGCACAGCACCUUGUCCAAAAGCUCAGCCCAGAAAAUGACAACGAUGACGAUGAAGAUGUUCAAGUUGAGGUGGCUGAGAAAGUGCAGAAAUCGUCUGCCCCCAGGGAGAUGCCGAAGGCUGAAGAAAAGGAAGUCCCUGAGGACUCACUGGAGGAAUGUGCCAUCACUUGUUCAAAUAGCCAUGGCCCUUAUGACUCCAACCAGCCACAUAGGAAAACCAAAAUCACAUUUGAGGAAGACAAAGUCGACUCAACUCUCAUUGGCUCAUCCUCUCAUGUUGAAUGGGAGGAUGCUGUACACAUUAUCCCAGAAAAUGAAAGUGAUGAUGAGGAAGAGGAAGAAAAAGGGCCAGUGUCUCCCAGGACAUCGGUGGGAUCAAGUGAAAAAGGAGGACCAAGAGGCAACAGGUCCCAGGCUCAGCAGGGAGCUGCUGGAUGAGAAAGGGCCUGAAGUCUUGCAGGACUCACUGGAUAGAUGUUAUUCAACUCCUUCAGGUUAUCUUGAACUGACUGACUCAUGCCAGCCCUACAGAAGUGCCUUUUACAUAUUGGAGCAACAGCGUGUUGGCUGGGCUCUUGACAUGGAUGAAAUUGAAAAGUACCAAGAA